RNAcentral lists this ribosomal RNA (478 nucleotides) under uncultured bacterium. Its description in RNAcentral is "partial 16S ribosomal RNA". It matches the Rfam family "Bacterial small subunit ribosomal RNA", at positions 28 to 507 of the family's 1533-position model. The record is from RNAcentral.
GACGAACGCUGGUGGCGUGCUUAACACAUGCAAGUCGAACGGGAUUUAGUAAACAGACGCCUCGGUGGAAGAUUACUAAUGAGAGUGGCGAACGGGUGAGUAACGCGUGAGCAACCUGCCUAUGACAGUGGGAUAGCCUCGGGAAACCGGGAUUAAUACCGCAUAAAAUCGUAGAAACACAUGCUUUAACGGUCAAAGAUUUAUCGGUCAUAGAUGGGCUCGCGUCUGAUUAGCUAGUUGGUGAGAUAACAGCCCACCAAGGCGACGAUCAGUAGCCGGUCUGAGAGGAUGAACGGCCACAUUGGAACUGAGACACGGUCCAAACUCCUACGGGAGGCAGCAGUGGGGAAUAUUGCACAAUGGGGGAAACCCUGAUGCAGCGACGCCGCGUGAACGAAGAAGGUAUUCGUAUCGUAAAGUUCUGUCCUAUGGGAAGAUAAUGACAGUACCAUAGAAGAAAGCUCCGGCUAAAUACGUG